Molecule: non-coding RNA, 31 nt
Filed under: Mus musculus (house mouse)
Lineage: Eukaryota; Metazoa; Chordata; Mammalia; Rodentia; Muridae
Source: RNAcentral
UACGUGUUUGCCUGGACAUUGCAGGCGUGAC